Molecule: long non-coding RNA, 1077 nt
Organism: Herpailurus yagouaroundi (jaguarundi)
Lineage: Eukaryota; Metazoa; Chordata; Mammalia; Carnivora; Felidae
Exons: 3
Source: RefSeq, a predicted model, not a curated record
GUUGGGAGCUGGGCACAGUUGGGGACAAAGCCUCUCUGGCAGAGGGAACAGCACCCCCCAGGCUGUCAUGGGCAGAGCGCGGGAUACCUGGUCAGUCGUGCGCGGGACGGGGUCAGCUCAGCAGGCGGGGUGGCCCAAACCUUAGGCAUUCCCAAGGUGGUCAGGCCUGCCCCUCAACUGGCUCCUGUGAGGUGAUCUCUGAGCUCUUGAAACAUCCUGCCUCAUAAGGACGUCUUUGGGCACCUGAGACCCCGGGCUGGGCAGAGGGUGUGUGCUAACAACGUGACUGUGUGGACGCCAGGCUGCUUGGGGCUGGGCGGCCUCACUCUGCCCUCUGGGGCUGCAGACCAAGCGAGCGGCGAAGGUCAGUCAUGCCAGGGCUGCGUGCCUUUGUGAGUGCCCCCAGCAAGACCCCUGGGCACUACUAAGGCUCCGGUGAGCCUCGCCGUCAGGCAGUAUUUAUGCAUUUUCACAAUUCCAGGGGAGAUAAGUGUGCCCGUGUGAUGCCAUUGGAAGCCCAUACCUGGUUUCCCCGGGCUCUGUCCCUUGUGCCUUUCUCCUGUGCUGAUCGUCAUUUGUGUCCUCUCUCUGCAAUAAUAUAAUUGGUAAUAUGACAGCUUUUUUUGUGAGUCCUUCUAGCAAGAGUGGUCCUGGGGACCCCGAAAAAGACUGGAUUCUUUGGGGCCUCGUAGGUCAGGGUCAAACGUGGCGUUGUUCUCUCUGUGCACUUGAUCCCAGUGUGGUUACUUUAUUCAAUUCUACUCCACGCCCCAGGCUGCACCCAGCUCCAACCAGCCCUCACAACAGGUGCCUAAACACACAAAUUGGUGAAUUUGCUUGGCGUGGGCCUGGGGAGCCCAGCGGCACAGAAGACGCACUGCAGGAGGAAAAAUGGCAACGCAGACAGCAGAAGUUUUGGUCUGAGGCUCGGCGCAGGAGUGCGGUUCAUUCUGGGAAAUGGGCGGGGACACAUGACCUGGGAAGAGCCCACGGAGAAGUACCCCUGUGGGGCUUGCGGCAGGCGAAGCGGGGGAGGAAGAACCAGGGAGGAGUGUCUCAGAGAGCGGCCCGUGCGCC